This 401-nucleotide transfer-messenger RNA is filed under the name Bacteroidales. RNAcentral's name for it is "Limimorpha sp017649945 Standard tmRNA". It matches the Rfam family "transfer-messenger RNA". From Rfam's summary of the family: Bacterial tmRNA, also known as 10Sa RNA or SsrA, is named for its dual tRNA and mRNA-like properties. Its role is to liberate the mRNA from a stalled ribosome. The record is from RNAcentral. Lineage: Bacteria; Pseudomonadati; Bacteroidota; Bacteroidia. RNAcentral also lists the same sequence under 1 other name.
GGGGCUGACCGGUUUUGACAGCUUGUAGAAGGGUUAUGUAAGCAUACCGAGCCUUGCAGUGACGCUCGUAAAUCUUGACUGCAAAAAAUUAAUUGGCGAAAAUACUUACGCUCUCGCUGCUUAAUCGAAGCACAGUAGAUUGAAGCUUUAUCCUUUCACAAGGUGAGAGGACGAGACAUCUCGCGGAUGGAGCCUCCCGAUUCCGGUCCGACAACGAGGUGCUCAGCAAUUUCGGGAUAGCGACGCGGAAGCUCCGGCAACGUCGCGAAACUCAAGGAGAUAAGGUCUGGAUUAGGAUGUCUGCUUCCUUGCCUGACACGAAAACCAACAACAGAAUAAGUAUGUAGAAAGCAUAAUUGUUCCUUGUUUGGACGAGGGUUCGACUCCCUCCAGCUCCACUA